Molecule: long non-coding RNA, 310 nt
Organism: Salvia miltiorrhiza (redroot sage)
Lineage: Eukaryota; Viridiplantae; Streptophyta; Magnoliopsida; Lamiales; Lamiaceae
Exons: 2
Source: RefSeq, a predicted model, not a curated record
GGGUGAGUGGCUUUGUUGGAUGGGGAAAACCUUGUGAUGUGGUGCAGUGAACAACCCUCGUAGCUUUCCCUCUUCUAGUUGGUGUGUGCUGUGCAGUCAAAUAUUUGAUGCCAAGAGCAUAUUUUUCUGCAGAUAAGUUGAUGGGUUAUUGAUGAAUGUGUGGAACGAAGAAUUGGUGGUGUUAUUGAAGCCUUGAAGGAGAAGAUGUAGAUGAGAUAGAUGAGCAAGCCAGAUAUGAUGAGGAGAGAUUUGAACAGGUUGUAGUUUGAGCAUGGUGCAACUUAUUUAAAAUUCUACAUUACUUUUCUUA